RNAcentral lists this ribosomal RNA (497 nucleotides) under uncultured bacterium. Its description in RNAcentral is "partial 16S ribosomal RNA". It matches the Rfam family "Bacterial small subunit ribosomal RNA", at positions 28 to 507 of the family's 1533-position model. The record is from RNAcentral.
GACGAACGCUGGCGGCGUGCCUAAUACAUGCAAGUCGGGCGAACAGACGAGGAGCUUGCUCCUCUGUCGUUAGCGGCGGACGGGUGAGUAACACGUGGAUAACCUACCUAUAAGACUGGGAUCACUUCGGGAAACCGGCGCUAAUACCGGAUAAUAUAUUGAACCGCAUGGUUCAAUAGUGAAAGACGGUUUUGCUGUCACUUAUAGAUGGAUCCGCGCGGCAUUAGCUGGUAGGUAAGGUCACGGCUUAUCAAGGCAACGAUGCGUAGCCGAGCUGUGAGGGUGAUCGGCGACACGGGAGCGUGACCGCGGUCCUGGCGCCUGCGGUAGGGAGCAGUAGGGUAUCGGCCGCAGUAGUCGGGAACCUUACGGAACGACGGCACGUGUGUGGUAGAGGUGUUGGGUGCGGAAUACUCUGUUAUUAGUGAAGAACAAAUUUGUAAGUAGCUAUGCACGGCUUGACGGUACCUGAUCAGAAAGCCACGGCUAACUACGUG